CCUACGGGUGACUGCAGUGGGGAAUAUUGGGCAAUGGAGGCAACUCUGACCCAGCAACGCCGCGUGAAGGAAGAAGGCCUUAGGGUUGUAAACUUAUGUUGUAAAGGAAGAAAAGAAUGACGGUACUUUACAAGAAAGCCCCGGCUAACUAUGUGCCAGCAGCCGCGGUAAGACAUAGGGGGCAAGCGUUGUUCGGAAUUACUGGGUGUAAAGGGCGUGUAGCCGGGAAGGCAAGUCAGAUGUGAAAUCUGGAGGCUCAACCUCCAAAUUGCAUUUGAAACUGUUUUUCUUGAGUACUGGAGAGGCAGACGGAAUUCCUUGUGUAGCGGUGAAAUGCGUAGAUAUAAGGAGGAACACCAGUGGCGAAGGCGGUCUGCUGGACAGCAACUGACGGUGAGGCGCGAAAGCGUGGGGAGCAAACAGGAUUAGAUACCCUUGUAGUC
This 443-nucleotide ribosomal RNA is filed under the name uncultured bacterium. RNAcentral describes it as "partial 16S ribosomal RNA". It matches the Rfam family "Bacterial small subunit ribosomal RNA", at positions 338 to 795 of the family's 1533-position model. The record is from RNAcentral.